AGCCCGAUAGUCUAGCGGUCAAUGAUCUCGCGCUCUGGACAUGAUACAGAGGGAUACGCGGGGACGGCAGUUCGAAUCUGCCUCGGGCUA
This 90-nucleotide transfer RNA is filed under the name Cenarchaeum sp. SB0663_bin_5. RNAcentral's name for it is "tRNA-Gln". RNAcentral also lists the same sequence under 2 other names. The record is from RNAcentral. Lineage: Archaea; Thermoproteati; Nitrososphaerota; Candidatus Cenarchaeales; Candidatus Cenarchaeaceae.